ACGCAGCCCGGCCUGAACGGAACUCCUUUUUUGCUUGCCGAAACGUUAAUCUCGCAGACCAAUCGUCGUGCAAAAAAGAGUGGGAGUGGAGGACGGAAUAGCU
Molecule: unclassified non-coding RNA, 103 nt
Filed under: Epilithonimonas lactis
Lineage: Bacteria; Pseudomonadati; Bacteroidota; Flavobacteriia; Flavobacteriales; Weeksellaceae
Description: Chryseobacterium halperniae Flavo-1 RNA
Source: RNAcentral